UACGAAGGGUGCAAGCGAUACUCGGAAUUACUGGGCGUAAAGCGUGCGUAGGUGGUUCGUUAAGUCUGAUGUGAAAGCCCUGGGCUCAACCUGGGAAUGGCAUUGGAUGCUGGCGAUCUAGAGUGCGGUAGAGGGCGGUGGAAUUCCCGGUGUAGCAGUGAAAUGCGUAGAGAUCGGGAGGAACAUCUGUGGCGAAGGCGACUGCCUGGACCAGCACUGAUACUGAGGCACGAAAGCGUGGGGAGCAAACAGG
This 253-nucleotide ribosomal RNA is filed under the name uncultured bacterium. Its description in RNAcentral is "partial 16S ribosomal RNA". It matches the Rfam family "Bacterial small subunit ribosomal RNA", at positions 524 to 776 of the family's 1533-position model. The record is from RNAcentral.